RNAcentral lists this ribosomal RNA (1149 nucleotides) under Triticum aestivum (bread wheat). RNAcentral's name for it is "partial small subunit ribosomal RNA". The record is from RNAcentral. Lineage: Eukaryota; Viridiplantae; Streptophyta; Magnoliopsida; Poales; Poaceae.
AUGCUCCGGCUCCGAGAGUCCAUCCUUUCCCAUAUCCUCUCCUCUCCCUCCAAAGCUGCAUUCUUCCCACUCAGCCGCCUUCUCUCCGCCCCCGUUUCCCCGAACCCUAGCAGCUUCGCCGUGGAGGAGUACCUCGUCGACACCUGCGGCCUCGCCAGGCCACAAGCCCUCAAGGCCUCCACCAAGCUCUCCCACCUCAAAUCCCCCGCCAACCCCGACGCCGUCCUCGCCUUCCUCGCCGGCCUCGGUCUCUCCGGCCCCGACGUCUCCGCCGCCGUCGCCAAGGACCCGCAGCUCCUAUGCGCCAAAGUGGACAAAACCCUGGCUCCGGUGGUCGAUGGGCUCACCGGCCUCGGCCUGUCGCGUUCCGACAUCGCCCGCCUCGUCUCGCUCGCCCACGCCUACUUCCGCUGUAGAUCCAUAGUCCCCAAGCUGCACUACUACCUGCCCCUCUUGGGCUCCUUCCACAACUUCCUCCGGCUGCUCAAGCACUCACCCCGCCUUCUGUCGUCGGACCUCGACAAGGUUGUCAAGCCCAAUGUUGUGUUUCUUAAGGAGUGCGGGCUAGGUGAUUGUCAUAUUGCCAAGCUGUGUAUCCCUGUACCGAGGAUGCUCGCCACCAACCCGGAGCGCGUCCGGGCAAUGGUGGCAUGUGCUGAAAGAUUGGGUGUACCUCGUGGCACUGGAAUGUUCAGGCAAGCGCUACGGGCUGUCGCGUUUCUCAACGAGGAGAAGAUUGCCGCCAAAGUGAACUACUUGAAGAGUACGUUCAGGUGGUCUGAUGCCGAAGUGAGCAUUGCUGUGCGCAAGUAUCCGAUUCUGCUGGAGAAGUCAAAGGAAUCUCUGAAGCGCAGAUCCGAGUUCCUGUUCUAUAAGGUGGGGGUGGAACCCGUGUACAUUGCUCAUCGACCGGAAAUAAUUUCUUAUAGCAUGGAGGGCCGACUCAGACCCCGGUACUAUGUUAUCAAGUUUCUCAAGCAAAAUGGACUGCUAGAUCGUGACUUGAGCUUAUAUUCUGCGGUCAAGAUGACUGAGAAGGUAUUUGUGGAGAAGCUCAUAUGCCCUCACAGGGAAGCCGCACCACACCUCGCUGAAGACUAUGCAACAGCUUGCAAAGGGGAGAUGCCAAAUAAUUUCAGAUUCAUAUGA